This 254-nucleotide ribosomal RNA is filed under the name uncultured bacterium. Its description in RNAcentral is "partial 16S ribosomal RNA". It matches the Rfam family "Bacterial small subunit ribosomal RNA", at positions 1238 to 1500 of the family's 1533-position model. The record is from RNAcentral.
AACAGAGAGAAGCAAUACCGCGAGGUGGAGCAAAACUUCAAAAAAUAGGUCUCAGUUCGGACUGUAGGCUGCAAUCCGCCUGCACGAAGCCGGAGUUGCUAGUAAUCGCGAAUCAGAAUGUCGCGGUGAAUGCGUUCCCGGGUCUUGUACACACCGCCCGUCACACCAUGGAAGUUGGGGGUGCCCAAAGCCGGCAAGCAAAUAUGCUGUCUAAGGCAAAACCAAUGACUGGGGUGAAGUCGUAACAAGGUAUC